AACGAUGUAUUUUAUAAAGAAUAUCGGGUUUGCGUCUCGAAGGAGGGAAUUUUCCCUAUUGUUA
RNAcentral lists this transfer RNA (64 nucleotides) under Clistobothrium montaukensis. RNAcentral describes it as "tRNA-Ala". Lineage: Eukaryota; Metazoa; Platyhelminthes; Cestoda; Phyllobothriidea; Phyllobothriidae. The record is from RNAcentral.